AUGGCGGAUGGUGAAUGCGAUGGUCGAGGUGGUGUGGUUUCGGAGCGGAACAAUGAUGGCGAUGAACAUAUCUCGAUUAUAAGUAUGCAUGGAUGGAUGAUGAUGAUGAUGGUUACUAAUGACAUGGGUGAUCAGUGAUGUGUAUUAUAGCCUGCAAGCUUAUAAGUUCAAAAGGUGAUGACGAUAUUAUUGUUUCAUGGGGGUUGGAUAUGAAGGUUGAACACUUGAACCCAUGUGUUUGCAAGUGAUCAAGUGCGUAAAAGGACCCGGUUGAUUGUUAUUGUUAAUUGUUAAUAUUUUAAUUAGGGAACUUGUGAUGGAUACUGUUGUGAAAAAAAAACGGAUAAUAAGGAGCAAUCAUCUAGAUAGGUGAAGUUAACAAGCUAGCUAGCUGGUACUUACCAUACAUCGAAACAAAAGCAAGAUAUUGAAGCAAGCAGCCUCACAAGCAUGUCAAAAAGUCAAAGAAGUAUCGUAUUAAAAGAAGCAAGCAUACAAGCAAGCUAGUGAAUUAAUUUAACCUAGUACAGAAGCAGCUCAAUUAAUUUAAGCUAGGAGGCUCGUGCUUGAGGACGAGUUUGCAGUACGGUUGGCUCGUGGAAUCUGGAAGCUUCACAACUAAUUGUCUUGCAGGUGUGUGAUUCAAGUCGGGGUUGCUCUUGGCUAGCGGAUGAGAUUACUCGUGUUAUGAUGGAAGGCAUUUGGUUUGUUAACGACAAAAAAAAAAUCCAUUUUUGUGUUUAAAUAAAUUAUGUACUAUUUUUAAUUGAAAAUUUCUGCUGCGUAUAUAAAUAAAGAGUUAUUUUAAUAUAG
Molecule: long non-coding RNA, 813 nt
Filed under: Helianthus annuus (common sunflower)
Lineage: Eukaryota; Viridiplantae; Streptophyta; Magnoliopsida; Asterales; Asteraceae
Source: RNAcentral